Molecule: ribosomal RNA, 437 nt
Rfam family: Bacterial small subunit ribosomal RNA
ACGGAAGGCAGCAGUGGGGAAUAUUGGGCAAUGGGCGAAAGCCUGACCCAGCAACGCUGCGUGAAGGAAGAAGGCCUUCGGGUCGUAAACUUCUUUUACCAGGGACGAAGGACGUGACGGUACCUGGAGAAAAAGCAACGGCUAACUACGUGCCAGCAGCCGCGGUAAUACGUAGGUUGCAAGCGUUGUCCGGAUUUACUGGGUGUAAAGGGCGUGUAGGCGGAGCUGCAAGUCAGAUGCGAAAUCCCGGGGCUCAACCCCGGAACUGCAUUUGAAACUGUCUCCCUUGAGUAUCGGAGAGGCAAGCGGAAUUCCUAGUGUAGCGGUGAAAUGCGUAGAUAUUAGGAGGAACACCAGUGGCGAAGGCGGCUUGCUGGACGACAACUGACGCUGAGGCGCGAAAGCGUGGGGAGCAAACAGGAUUAGAUACCCUGGUA